RNAcentral lists this ribosomal RNA (458 nucleotides) under uncultured bacterium. Its description in RNAcentral is "partial 16S ribosomal RNA". It matches the Rfam family "Bacterial small subunit ribosomal RNA", at positions 28 to 507 of the family's 1533-position model. The record is from RNAcentral.
GACGAACGCUGGCGGCGUGCUUCAUACAUGCAAGUCGAACGAGAAGCUGACUUCGGUCAGUGGAAAGUGGCGGACGGGUGAGUAAUAUGUAGGAAAUCUGCCUUUAGGAGGGGGACAACAGAGGGAAACUUCUGCUAAUACCCCAUAUGAGCGUAGCUGAAAUGCUAUUCUUGAAAACUCCGGUGCCUAAAGAUGGGCCUGCAUCUGAUUAGCUAGUUGGUAGUGUAAUGGACUACCAAGGCGACGAUCAGUAGCUGGUUUGAGAGGAUGAUCAGCCACAAUGGGACUGAGACACGGCCCAUACUCCUACGGGAGGCAGCAGUAGGGAAUUUUGCGCAAGGGGCGAAAGCCUGACGCAGCAACGCCGCGUGAACGAUUAAGCCCUUCGGGGUGUAAAGUUCUGUCAGUGGGGACGAAACUUGACGGUACCCACAGAGGAAGCACCGGCUAACUCCGUG